This 1161-nucleotide ribosomal RNA is filed under the name Triticum aestivum (bread wheat). RNAcentral's name for it is "partial small subunit ribosomal RNA". The record is from RNAcentral. Lineage: Eukaryota; Viridiplantae; Streptophyta; Magnoliopsida; Poales; Poaceae.
AUGCUAGCAUGUCCUGUUAUGUCUUCAAAUUCAACUAGGCACACAAAAUCUUUAGUGCUCAAAGUUGUUUUACCAAUAGCCAGUAUGGUGUCACUUGCUAUGGUCAUAUUUGGUUUAUUGCUUUGGAGAGGAAAACACAAGAGCAAAUCAAUAUCUCCGCCCUCCUUUGCUACAAAAUUUCCCAAAGUUUCUUUCAACGACCUAUCCAGAGCAACACAAGGAUUCUCAGCAUCCAACCUAAUAGGCAGAGGGGGGUAUAGUUCCGUAUACCAAGGAAAACUAGCUGAAGAUGAAAAUGAGGUUGCCAUAAAAGUCUUCAACCUAGAGCUUACAGGAGCACGAAAGAGCUUCAUUGCUGAAUGUAAUGCGUUGAGAAAUGUGCGACACCGUAAUCUAGUCCCUAUACUAACUGUAUGCUCAAGCAUUGAUUCUAAUGGUAAUGAUUUCAAGGCCCUAGUAUAUGAGUUCAUGCCAGGAGGAGACUUACAUAAACUACUAUACUCAACUCAAGGCUGUGAAGGCUCUUCAAAUUUGAAUCUUGUUACAAUGUUUCAAAGGAUAGGCAUUGUCGUGGAUGUAGCGGAUGCAUUGGAGUACCUCCACCAUAACAACCAAGGAACAAUGGUUCACUGUGAUCUGAAGCCUAGCAACAUUCUUUUGGAUGACAAUAUGAUAGCUCAUGUCGGAGACUUCGGCCUAGCAAGAUUCACAGUUGGUUUCACAACAUCAUCACUUGGUAACUCAAACUCUUCUUCGGUUGCACUAAUUGGAACGGUCGGAUAUGCUGCUCCAGAAUAUGCAGGGGGUGGUCAAGUUUCGACCGCCGUGGAUGUUUACAGCUUCGGUAUCGUUCUCCUGGAGAUAUUCAUUCGAAGAACGCCGACUGAUGACAAGUUCAAGGAUGGACUGAGCAUUGUGAAGUUUACAGAGAUCAGCUUCCCUGAUAGGGUAUUGGAGAUUGUUGAUCCCCAGUUGUUACAGGAGUUGGAGCUUUGCCAAGAAACUCCGGUGGCCACGAAGGAAAAAGGUGUAUGUUCUCUGAUGUCUAUCCUAAACGUUGGCCUUUGCUGCACCAAGCCAUCCCCUGUUGAUCGUAUCAACAUGCAGGAGGUGGCUGCCAAGCUACAUGGAAUCAGGGAUGGAUAUCUUAGAGGAAAUUGA